AGAGUUUGAUCAUGGCUCAGAAUCAACGCUGGCGGCGUGCCUAACACAUGCAAGUCGAACGCGAAAGGGGAGCAAUCCCUGAGUAGAGUGGCAAACGGGUGAGUAACACGUGGGUGACCUGCCUUCGAGUGGGGGAUAACGUCCCGAAAGGGACGCUAAUACCGCAUGACAUCCUGCCUUUGAAGAGGCGGAGGUCAAAGCUGGGGAUCGCAAGACCUGGCGCUUGAAGAGGGGCCCGCGCCCGAUUAGCUAGUUGGCGGGGUAACGGCCCACCAAGGCGACGAUCGAUAGGGGUCCUGAGAGGGAGGUCCCCCACACUGGUACUGAGACACGGCCCAGACUCCUACGGGAGGCAGCAGUGGGGAAUCUUGCGCAAUGCGCGAAAGCGUGACGCAGCAACGCCGCGUGGGGGAAGACGGCCUUCGGGUUGUAAACCCCUUUCAGUUGGGACGAAGCUUCGCCGGUGAAUAGCCGGCCGGAGUGACGGUACCUUCACAAGA
This 500-nucleotide ribosomal RNA is filed under the name uncultured bacterium. RNAcentral's name for it is "bacterial SSU rRNA". It matches the Rfam family "Bacterial small subunit ribosomal RNA", at positions 8 to 488 of the family's 1533-position model. The record is from RNAcentral.